Long non-coding RNA from Ailuropoda melanoleuca (giant panda), 2768 nucleotides. RefSeq lists it as uncharacterized. NCBI's taxonomy places the organism in Eukaryota, Metazoa, Chordata, Mammalia, Carnivora, Ursidae. The record is from RefSeq and is a predicted model, not a curated record. The transcript is spliced from 3 exons.
GGGAGUCGGACGCCUAACCAACUGAGUCACCCAGGCACCCCACCUAAGGGGAGUGAGUUGGGGGAAAGCAAGAUUGGAAAAGCCACAGGUGCACCUGGGAGGAUGGUGACGUUGACCUCAUGACUGAGGAGCUCUCUGUCCUGCCAAGAUGGACAUCCAAAGCCAUUGUCCCUGCAGCUGCAACCAGAGUGAUCUGGUCUUCAAGCUAACUCUUGUUGUCGGCUUCUGCAUUUUUCACCUUUAAAGAAAGUGGUUUUUGUUGAUCGGUGUUCCUGAUGUGUAAGAAAGAGAAAAGGCAGAAGGAGAGACGAUCCUGGAAUGCGCAAUCACCUGGCAGGGGCCUCCUGUUGGCCAAGAAAAACCAGAAACCAGAGGAAAGGAAGCCUCAAGACACAGAGGUCAGAUGCCUUGGGCUGGAGACCGGAGCGAGGAGAGGGAUGCUGAGGACGAAGAAGAAGGACACAUCUGGCACUCGGUCAUUCGCAUGAAAAAUGGGUGAAGGACUUUCCUGUCUGUAUCUCUGCAUAUUCAUAUGCACGCUAAUAGGCACCAACACGAUUUCUGGAAUGAUAAGCACACAGUAGAAACUGGUGGAAACUUCUGAGAAGGAGAAGUUGCCUGCUUUCUGUGGUGUCACUUGAUCUACAGUUGAUUUUCGCCCCCUGUGCACUUACUAAAUAUUCAAUCCAUCCAUCACCAAUCAUUAACAGGAACUGCUGUUUUUGAACUUCUCAUGCUGGGGCUGGAAGGAAGAGGUCCUUCUCCUCUCCUGUGGUUGAGUUGCCAUCAGGAUGUGGGUCUAGGGCUGCAUGUGGCAAUAGCAGCUACCGAUUCUACGAUAACUUGCAUUCCUCCGAAACACACAAGUUACGGGUGGACUUCAUUUUUCAUCCCCAAUGGCAAUUUCAUCUAGUUCAAGCAAAUACACACCAGGUCCUCAAGGAGGGGGAUUAUGCAAGGUGUGUCCACCAGUGGGGUGGGAAUUUGGGAGCUCUUUUAGAAUUCUUCCCAUUUUAUCUACAUUAACUCACUUAAGCUCCAUAGCAACCCCAAAAGUGAAUAUUAUUGUUAUUUACUUCAUGCUACAGAUGUGACAGCAGGGAAAGAGUCCGGUUAAGAAACUUUUCCAACUUCACAUGGGGAGGGGGUGGGGGGAGAGCCCUCUGGUGCUCACCUGAUCCCCCCUCUGCUGCUGUGCGCUCUGGUGUGGAGGAGCCCGUCUACAUCAAGGGCAUGGUGGCCUGAGGGGGUAGGGUCCUGGCCCUCUCCUCUCUGAUGGGAGUACCACCUCAGCUUGGCCCUCGCUUCAGUACUAUCCGCCAGUCAAGGCCCUGACAUACUUAAGCAAAAGGAAGGGAAAUAUCUGGUCUUUGCAACAGACGUUACUGAAUUUCUAAAUUCAUAGUAAUGACUUGAAUAGUAGCGCCCAGAAAGACAUGUCUAAGCCUUGACCGUGGAACGUAUGCGUGUGGCUGGAUUGGAGAAGGGGCCUUUGCAGAUGUCAUUAAGUUGGGAAUCUUGACAUGGGAUCACCCUGGGUUUAGGGUGGACCCUAAAUCCAAUGACUGGUGUCCCUAUAAGAGAAAGACAGAGGGGGAUUUGAGGCACAGACGCAGGGGAGAAGCGGAUGUGAGGACAGAAGCAGAGCUUGGAGUAAGGCAGCCACAACCCAAGAACAGCUGGAGCCAUGAGAGACGGAAAAAGCAGGAAAGGGUCUUCCGCGAGAGCCUUCAGAGGGAGCACGGCCCAGCCAAUGCUUGAUUGAGGACCUAUGGCCUCAGGAGGCUGGCAUUGUUGUAAGUCCACCAAUGUGUGGUAAUUUGUUACAGCAGCCUGAGAAAACUCAUACACCCCAUUACCUUCUUGCCAGCUAUGUACAAAGGGGUAUCAGGAAUGGAGUAGAGGUCUGGGUAGAUACGAAGCAAGAUCUGGAUUUGGUUUUCUGUUGAUCCCAAAGAAGAAAGCGCUUUUACGAAUUCAGAGGUGGGGAGAAAGGGGUUGAGGAGGUGAAAGUUGAAGGGCAGGAGGGAAUUUUGGCUCAUUUAGAAGAUCAGAGAGAUUUCUAGAAUGGGGAGAAGGUAGAUAACCUUUCUAAUUUUCAGACUUUCUAUGAAUUUCUGUGGUAGACAGAAUUCUAAGAUGGCUUCCAAGACUCUGCCCUGAGCGUGGGUAGCUCUGUGAAUGAAACGGGUCACUCUCUUGAUUAUGUUACAUAUAGGACACCCAGCGGUGGCAGCCUGAAGAGAUUCUGCUGCUGGCUGUCUUUGGGAGAGGGCUGGGCGUCGAGGACCCGAGGGUGGCCUCUGGGAGAGGACCUCCAGCUGGUAGCCGGCAAAGAUAUGGGAAGCUCAGCUGAGGGCUGCUGAGGAACUGAAUUCUACGGACCCCCUGGAUGACUUGGAAGUGAAGUCUGAGCCUCAGGCGAGGCUGCAGCCCCAGCCCACACCUUGCCGAGGCGUCUGCGCAGAGGAUCCAGCUGACUGGUGCCCGUUCUCGUGGCCCAGCGGACGGAGACAUGACAGACGUGGGAGCAUCAGGCUGAGAGGUUUGUGGUGAUGUGUUCUGCAGCAAGAGGAAACAAUUGCAGUGUCCGACCACGGUGUCUCCCAAGUUGUAAAUGAGUAGAUGUCUCUGAGCCUGAGCCUUGAUUUUGUGGGGGUUUUAAUGACCCAAUAUUAAAAAUGGGUGUCUAUUUUUAGGUGGUGUUUUUAAAUGAAUCACACAUUCAUUUAAAAAAAAAUGUUUGAGGGGUGCCCUGGGUGGCUUAG